This 519-nucleotide ribosomal RNA is filed under the name Todarodes pacificus (Japanese flying squid). Its description in RNAcentral is "partial 16S rRNA". It matches the Rfam family "Bacterial large subunit ribosomal RNA", at positions 1812 to 2601 of the family's 2925-position model. The record is from RNAcentral. Lineage: Eukaryota; Metazoa; Mollusca; Cephalopoda; Oegopsida; Ommastrephidae.
AACAUGUCUCUUUGUAAAAUGUAAAUAAAGAGUUGGGCCUGCUCGGUGAAUAAGUUUUAACAGCUGCGGUAUUUUAACUGUACUAAGGUAGCAUAAUAAUUUGCCUUAUAAUUUGAGGCUAGAAUGAAUGGUUUGACGAAGGUUAAGCUGUCUCCACUUUAUUUUUUAGAAUUUAAUUUUUAUAGUGAAAAAGCUUAAAUUUUUUAAAGGGACGAGAAGACCCUAAUGAGCUUAUAAUUUUAUUAUUGUGAUUUAAUAUAUUUAAAUGAUAAUAUAUAAAUUUUAAUUGGGGUGAUUAAGGAAUAAUUUAUAAGUAGUAACUUCCUUAGAUUAAAUAUAUAUUGAUUAAGUAACCAAUAAAUAUAUUGCUUAUAAUAUAGUUACCAUAGGGAUAACAGCGUAAUUUGUUUAGAGAGUUCUUAUUGAAAAACAAGAUUGCGACCUCGAUGUUGGAUUAAAGUAACCUUAAGGUGCAGAAGCUUUAUUAGGUAAAUCUGUUCGAUUUUUAAUACUUUACGU